Molecule: ribosomal RNA, 557 nt
Filed under: uncultured bacterium
Lineage: Bacteria
Description: bacterial SSU rRNA
Rfam family: Bacterial small subunit ribosomal RNA
Source: RNAcentral
ACGGGUGAGUAACGCGUGGGAAUCUACCGUACCCUACGGAAUAGCUCUGGGAAACUGGAAGUAAUACCGUAUACGCCCUAACGGGGAAAGAUUUAUCGGGGUAUGAUGAGCCCGCGUUGGAUUAGCUAGUUGGUGGGGUAAAGGCCUACCAAGGCGACGAUCCAUAGCUGGUCUGAGAGGAUGAUCAGCCACAUUGGGACUGAGACACGGCCCAAACUCCUACGGGAGGCAGCAGUGGGGAAUAUUGGACAAUGGGGGCAACCCUGAUCCAGCCAUGCCGCGUGAGUGAUGAAGGUCUUAGGAUUGUAAAGCUCUUUCAACGGUGAAGAUAAUGACGGUAACCGUAGAAGAAGCCCCGGCUAACUUCGUGCCAGCAGCCGCGGUAAUACGAAGGGGGCUAGCGUUGUCCGGAAUUACUGGGCGUAAAGCGCACGUAGGCGGGUAUUUAAGUCAGGGGUGAAAUCCCGCAGCUCAACUGCGGAACUGCCUUUGAUACUGGGUAUCUUGAGUAUGGAAGAGGUAAGUGGAAUUGCGAGUGUAGAGGUGAAAUUCGUAGA